CCGGAGCUUGAUCUUUGGGCUCUUCUUCCAUCCUUUUGCAAUUAUCCUGUGGACAAGGUGAUUGCAAAGCUUCUUGAGGAAGAUCUUAGAGGAGUGAUCUCUUCCAGCAUCCAGAUAUUGGAAAAGCAAAACAAAAGGAAAAAGCAUGUUAUUCCAAGGACAUUGCAUCGGGCAAACUUGUCAGCCAUUUCUGCGUUUUCGGAUAAGUUUCUUCCUCUUCUUUUCAAUAUUUUUUGUGAUUCACCACCAGAAAAACGGGGAGAGUUACAGGUACUAGGAUGCAUCUUCUUUGUCUUUCUAGUAGUAACAAUUCCGAACGGUCAUGGAGAAACUUUUGAAAGCCACGAAACAUACAUAUGCGAAAGAGACAAGUCUGAGCGGACGAGCUCGAAGUUUGGCCUGGCGUGCUUGAUCCAGUCGAAGCGGACGAUGGCAUUGGAGUAAACGAUCCAGCCAACAACGACGCUAGUGUGGAUUCUCCAGAAGCUGGUGUUGAUAGUGAUGAUCCGGUUAAAGCUGGCGAAGUUGACGAUGAUACUACCAGCAUCGGCUCGCCAGCUGACGAACUACUAGAUCCUACUGAAGCUGCCGUUUCAACACCAGAGCCACUUGCGGAAACUGACGGUCCCGCAUUAGAUCCAGAACUCUCUGCUGCGAUUACCAGCGUCAACAACAUUAGAAACCAAACCAUACUCCAAGACUUUAUACCUGAGUCAAAACUUGGAGCCGCUCCAGGGGCUGCCGCCUGCGGGCUAGUUGCAGCAGUGCUCCCGCUCCCACCUUUAUGAAAAUAUUA
Selaginella moellendorffii is the source of this 796-nucleotide long non-coding RNA. RefSeq lists it as uncharacterized. The record is from RefSeq and is a predicted model, not a curated record. Lineage: Eukaryota; Viridiplantae; Streptophyta; Lycopodiopsida; Selaginellales; Selaginellaceae. The transcript is spliced from 3 exons.